AGUUAAGAAGCUUUAUGUUAAGCAUAUGUUUUGAAAACAUAAGAGAGAAGUUGAAUUC
Molecule: transfer RNA, 58 nt
Filed under: Ostrocerca truncata
Lineage: Eukaryota; Metazoa; Arthropoda; Insecta; Plecoptera; Nemouridae
Description: tRNA-Ser
Source: RNAcentral